RNAcentral lists this long non-coding RNA (18829 nucleotides) under Citrus sinensis (sweet orange). Its description in RNAcentral is "long non-coding RNA (CSIN_LNC001282)". The record is from RNAcentral. Lineage: Eukaryota; Viridiplantae; Streptophyta; Magnoliopsida; Sapindales; Rutaceae.
CGGUAUCUUGUAAACAUGUUCUGACAUUUAUCUGAGUUUAUUUGCGUAAAAUACGACAUCCCAAGCUCCCAACCCCAAGUGAUGAUAUAGGCAGCAUCCGGCAAAUAUUUUAAGCUCAAAGUUCAAACCUUAAGAGUCUUUUGGAGGUGUGUUUGCAAAAUUCCACGAUGUUUUGUCAAAGGAAUCUGGAUAUCUUCCUCCUGCAACCUCUUCUGUGGGUACGGCAUCAGAAAUUUCUUUCAGAUCCUCGUUUGUAAGUUUUACUGUCAAGGAGCCAAUAUUGUCUUCUAGGUUCUUAAUCUUAGUUGUCCCUGAUGCUCGAAGCAAAUUACCAGUAAACAUUAGGCAACAUUAUUUUGAUCAGCUCGAAUUUGAACUCUAUAUAUUUCUUCAAGUCAACACGUGAAUCAUGAACUCAAGGAUAGAAACUUACCAGGAAUAGGUACGACAUCAUCCCCCUGUUCGAGAACCCAUGCCAGUGCUAAUUGCGCAGAAGUGCAUUUGUACUUUUUGGCAAGGUUCUCUAUGCGAAAAUAAAUACUCCUGUUUCUGUCCAGGUUCUCUCCGGUGAACCGAGGAAGAAAAUUCUUAUAAAACAGAUACAUGCAGAAUUUUAAUAAGCUUCACCACAUAUGGAACAUUAGUCUCAAAUGAAACUGGAAAGCUCAUGUUGUUUCUUAAAAACAUCUAUGUUAUACUGUGUUAUGAAACAAAACGAUGCGGACAAACAUUGAUGAAAAACAUACCAAAAAGCUAUCUGGAGGCACACUUUCCACAACAGCUUUGCCACCGAAAAAUCCACGACCAAGAGGACUGUAUGGAACUAUUCCAAUGCCAAGCUCCCUGCACACUUCAAUCUAUCAGAAGGGCAGUCUUGUACAUGCAAGCAUAUACUUCCACUUAAAAUCUAAUCUAAUCUAUUCUAUGCAAGUAUUGAAUUUUACAAAAUUCUAUAUCUACAGACAUUAGGUACAAAAUAGUAGAUUGGAACAAAUAAAUAGAAUAUACUUCCUUUGAAAAUCUAAUCUAUCCUAUUCAAGUUACUAAUUUUAUGAAAUGCUAUAUCCUCAGACACUAGAUACAAAAAUUAAAGUUUUAGAUAGGAACAAUUAAAUAGGUCCUUAAACACUCUUCAUCGCGAGUCGAACGAACCUGCAAAGUGGUACUAUCUCAUUCUCAAUGUCACGAGUCCAAAGAGACCAUUCCAGUUGUACAGCUGUGAUAGGAUGAACAGCAUGUGCUCUCCUAAUUGUAUCUGGGCUAGCCUCAGAUAAUCCUAUGUACUUGAUUUUACCCUCUUCCACCAGCUUUUUCAUUUCGCCAAUCUAUAUUUUGACAAGGAAAUGACAAAUAUAGUUUUGAACACAUUCAAUCAAUAUGGAUCCCACCACUACUGAUACAAUCAGAAUCUAAAAAUCAUAAUUGGGGUCAAAACUCUUCAAUUCAGAUAGUUAGCCUGAGGAAGAGAGAAUCACUCACAGUUUCCUCUAUGGGGACUGAUGUGUCCACUCUAUGUUGAUAAUACAGAUCAAUGUAUUCCACAUCAAGGCGCUUCAAGCUAGCUUCACAACAUGAGCGCACAUACUCAGGGUUACCCUUCACAAUCACAGCAUCAAGUCCCAAUUCUGCAAACCCAAACUUUGUGGCUACUUGUAUGUUUUCUCUGGGCAACAUCUUCAAGGCCUGAAAGGAAUGAAUUUUUUUCCAAUAAAUUCGGAAAAUUUUAACAAUGAUUUCUAUAUCCUCAAUAAUGUGCAAAAAUAAAUAUUCACCAAUUCCUUGAACAAACAUAUUAUAUUAGGAGUGUGAUUCCAUAGUUAUCAGUUAAAUUACUUGAACCAUAGCAGCUAUCAUACUCUUUAGGUUACCGCUUGAUCUAGAUGUGAAUUGUAACUAAAUUAAUCAAACAUAACAAGUGUUUAGUUAAGAGAAUUCUUACACAAGUGUCAAGAGUCAAGAUCCUAACCUUUCCAAGAAGAAUUUCAUUAGUAUAUGGUCCAUAUUUAUCAGCAGUAUCAAAGAAAGUGAUUCCUUUAUUGAAAGCAUGCUUUAUUAUAGAGAUGCCAUCCUCUUCAGAGACUGGAGAAUUGUAACCUCCACUCAGGCUCAUGCAUCCAAAUCCCAGCUUUGAUACCUGUAAAAGCAAAAAAACACAAUCAGAGAAAUCAAACGAUCAGGAUUAAAAGAACAAAAAAAAAAGAAAAUUACAAAUGGGUAGUUACCUCAAGGCCUUGGGUUCCGAGUUUCACUCUCGGAACUUGGAGUUUCAUCCCUUCUGCCAUAUUUGAUGCUGUGGUUUUGGUUUGUCCUGGUAUUCUUUCAAUAAUUAGUUGGUUGACUUGAGCUUGAGCUGGAUGUGGGACAAAAAGGAAAGGAAUCUGGUUUGGCUCCAACUCCAAGGAUGUGAAGACAGGUACUUUUUUAUUUAAAGUGCUGAAACUGGGACUUGACUAGCUUACAGAAUCUGUAAGCUACAGACUGCAGCAUCAGCCGUUGGAUGUGGUUGGAUGUGGAGUGAGAAACUAAACAAUAGAAAAUCGGAUGGUGGAAUGACGGGAGAUGUUUGUUACAGAAUCGGAUGGUGGGAAAUUUCAAAACCUGAAACUGGUUCUGAUGGGGGCAAAACUUCCGUUACAUUAGCUGUACGUUACAGCUAAAAGAUUUUAAAUCCUUCGUAAAGUUUAUAAUUAUAAAAAAGUCAAUGAGUUUUAAAAUUUUGUUUUAAACCCCAAGAUGCCUGUGAAAGUCUUUGAAAUUUCCCAGGAGGGAUAUUAGCCACCCUUUCGUCAACAUCAAUGGCAAAACCUAUGCCCCCUCAAGUCUUUAUUAUUUCUCACAGUUCCCAAAAUUAUAUCCACAUUUGCCUCAUAGGUUUGUAUAUCUUCAUCUUCUUUUAUCACGUUUUUGGUUGGUUUUUUAUCUGGCAAAGAAGAUUUGAUUUUGAUCACAUUUGGUCUCAUCAAACCAACUUAUGACUAUUAGAGAUAUUAAAUAAACUAUUAGAGAUAUUAAAUAGAUUUUUAUAAAUCUCAAAAGAAAGGCAAAGGCAAAGAGAGCAAACCUUGAAUAAAAUGAAGCAACUUGUAAAUUACAAAAGGUUAAAAACUACAUCAUCAUCAAGUUCUAGUGACUGUGCUAUUUGCUUGGAAACUUUUACAGAUGAUGAAACUUGUUGAAUUUCUCCUGUAUACAAUCACAUCUUUCAUUUAAAUUGCAUUGAUGGUUGUUUGGAGAUCAAUAUAAUUGCCCUUUUUGUCGUAAUUGUAUCUUCGAACUUCAAUUUUCUUAAAAUUUUCUAUUUAUAUUUACAAUAGAUUUAGUACAGUUUCUCAACAAUUUUUUUUUUCUAUAUUAUCCAAUUGAAUCUCUAACUUAUUCAAUCUUACAUCUAUUCAGUUUUUAUUCGUUAUAUUAAUGAUCUCUUACUUUAAUUUAUCUUGAUCUUCAAUAUUGAAUUAUUUCAUUAAUUGUUUAGCCUUAUAAAAUUCUUUGCUCAUUUGAUCUCCUGAAUUUUUAAUUUGUUUUAUAUUUUCGUCAUUGAAAUUAUUAAUCUCUUACAUUUUGUUUGCACUUUCUAUAUAAUUUAUAGAUAAAUUUGGGUUUCUUAAUUUAUUUAAUAAAUACAACGAAGUUCAAUUUAAUUGAUUAUUAGCUCACGUGUUUGAAUCAUUGAUCCAAUCGAAAAGUUGAAAUCUUCCACCUGAAAAUCCUUUUCGCCCAUAGCUAGAAUGUGGUAGCUUAUUGGUUUUUAUGUUUUUUGAAAUUAUUAGAAAUUUUGGUAAUUUAUUCAUUGUAUCAUUUUUCUAAUAAUUCAUUAAAUUCAUAGGAUAUUCAUGAUAUAUAAUAUCUCUUAUAAUUUAGGAUGCUAGAUUCAUAUUACAAAAUCUAUGUGAAAGCAUUUAUGGUGUGUGUAGAAAAAAUCUAGUUUAUAUCUUAAGAGAGACAAGAAUUUAUAAAUACAGGUGCAAAUAUAUAUUCAGAAUUUGUGGAUAUUUAUGAACAUGAUAAUCAUUUAUAUUCUUAUAAAAAUAUAGUAAAAACUUUUUAAAAAAUUUAAAAAUAAAUAUAAAAAACUAUAUAAUUAUACAAAAUUAAUGAGGACUUAUUUGAAAAAAUAAGUAAAUAUGUGAUUAAAAAUAAAAUUUUCUUUAAAUUACUAUUGCACCCGUACCUCGUUUUUGGUUAAAAUUACUUUCAUCCAUUGGAUUUAAGAAAUAUAAAAAUUAAUGAUCCAUAUCUAUUAGUUGUUUGUUACAAUAUUUGUAACAUAAGCUUUGCCUCUGUUGUGUUGUUGUGUGCAAACGAAUUUUCAUUUUUUUUUCUCUUACUAUCAUGAUUGGUCAAUUUAGUGUAAUUCAAAACAAGUGCAAACGAUUUUAAGAUUUGACAAAAUAAUCCCUGUACUUUGCAAAAUGUUAGGUGUGGGAGAAAUUUACAGUCACAACACACGAUGUAAUUGUCUAAUAAAAGUGUUCAGCUACAUUGGAUCACCUCCAACUAAUACCAGCCAUACAAUUAUAUAAAUUCGAUGUGACGGUCACGAUUACAUGAACUCAAAAUACAAGAUAUGCAUAGGAUUAUGGGGUCUUAUUCUCCUUCGCUCUUCAUCAGUUUCUUCAUUAUAAUCGGAAUCAAUCUCAUCAUCACCGUCGGUUCGCUGGAAAGUUUCAAAUUUGAUCAGCAAUCAUUGAUUAUAUCUCUCUAUCUCUCCUCGCUUAAUUCUACUAUGCAUCGCCAUGCUGAUGAUCGACGCUGGCACCUACUGCAGUCGCAACUAUCUCGCAAACCGUUGAUUAUACCUUUUUUAGUGCUCAUAAUGGAAGACAAAGACGCAAACACGAGAACAGAAGGCAACCAAGUAAGUAAUAUUGAAACUUGCGCGAAAAUUAGCGUUUCUGUUAUUUGUUAAUUAACAAUUUGUUUGGGGGGAUAUUAUAGCGUGAUCUGCCAUACCCAAGCGAGGAGUUGACCUUCUCAUAAGCGAGGAGCAAUGUGACAUCCGAGAGCAGGAGUCUUCUCCUCGUCCUUGAGGAGACCAUCUGCUAGGACUAGAAUAUGAGCAGGUUCCUUGCUAGGCGUCGAGAACAUUUCCUGCUGGGGGCUAAAUCAGCAGACCCAGUCCACAGCAGUUAAAUAGGACAUGCGCUAUUAUCCUAGAAUUCAGGCACGAAGCCCACUCAGCUACGACCACCACGUUCAAGCAUCCACUUACGAUGAUUCGGCAAAGUGGCGAGCGUGAGUCAAUGAGGGCCGAAUUCUCAGGGAGGUUAUAAAAAAGGCAAUCAAAGAAGGUAAAAGGGUUCGACAAAAAACACUAAAAAAGAGACAAAAAGAAAUUCCAGGGGGCAUUCUAGUGAGAACCUCAGGAAAAUUCACAGGGAUUUCAUUGCUUUAGAAAUCAUUACAAAGCCAAGAAAUUAUUGGCAGGGUUUUUCCAAAAGUAAGCCUAGAUUCUGGACUUAAGCGUCAGAGGGUUUACGCCGGGAAAACCCUCGGCGUGCUUUGACCAGUUUUUGUAUGUGCAGGAGUCUGCCGAGAGAAGCAGUAAGCGUCAUAGUUCUACUUGUUUAGAAAAGGGCAACGUGGAGUUACCUAUAGUCAAUUGCAAACUUGAGCAUUAAGGAGAGAUUCUGGUCGUGACCGAGCAUACAUCAAAUCUCGCAUCAACAUUUUGCCGUCGUCUAUGGGGAGCUGAACAAAAAGCUUUCGUUAACAGCGAGCGUUAACAUAGAGAAGGAAGGGAAAAAAAGAGGGGCGACUAUGGACGUAGGUAGGAGUAAUGUCCAAGGAGGGGAUAUGGGGCUUAACGAAUCCGUAAUAUUAAGAGAAAUAACUAACGAGGCGUGAGAAAGAGCAAUGCAUGAGCAGAUGGAAAACAGAUGGAAACUCUGACAACUAUCUUGCACGCGUUGAGAAAGAACAAAGAGAAACUCACGAAGAAAUAAUGAGAAGUGACAGAGUUACACUAGGGCAUGUUAAUAGAAGGAACAACGGUGAAGGGACCACUCUGAUGAAAGGUUUAACUACCGGGAGGCCUGGUGGUGGACUCAAUGACCAAUCUCUACGGAAAGUCAUGAAAGAGGGAAUCAACCCCCGGGUAGGCAGAACACGGGCAAUAAUAACAGGGUUGCGAACGCUGAGGAGAUGGAACUUCGACAACACCUGCGUGAUGUCGAGCAAGAGCAAGACCAGGUAACGGCACGUGAUCCUAGUCGAGCCGACCCAUUGGUGCACAUAAAGCGUUUCAAUGACUUAACCGGAGUGUAGAGAUUAUCUCAAGCCCAGAGAUGCAGGGUGAGUGGUAUCGAAGGUUUCCUCCGGGAAACAUCAGAACAUUCGAGCAGAUGUGCCAGGAAUUUGCAGAGCAAUUUCGGGGGACAAUGGCACCAGAAGAUGAUAUGAUGGAGCUGACGAGUAUGAAGCAAGGAGAAAAUGAGACUCUUCGGGACUUUAUCAAAAGAUACCAUCAUGCUAUCCUCGAUCUUAGAGCCUUCAACCAUCCUCAGGGGGCUAAAGGAAGGAGUAAAGAUAGAGAGUCUGUGGUACAACUUAAGGAGUCCAGCAGUUCAGUCAUAUUUCGUGGCCUAUUAGCAAGCCAAGAGGGACAUAGAAAUCGAGGAGGAAAAAACGACGAGGAUUAAGACGGACCAGCUGGAGGGGUUGAGGAGAAAGGAAAAGAAAGUCAUAGCAGAAAGCGGGCCAAUUAAAUGGAAGGACCACUAUGCCCCGGGUGGCAGUGCGGGAAGUCGGGUCGCCUCUUACCAACCUCACCAGAGGCCACUCCAAUAUCAACGUAGCAGGAUGCAGCUUUCUCGUUCACUAGCUAGAGAUUCUUGGGGAAGGCUUGACUAGAUGUAUAGUCACCUUCAUUAUCAUACUACGAUGACCCACCACCUACAGAGUAUGAGAGCUAGCAGACCAAAUGCACCAAUGCCCCUUCCCGCUUAAAACAACGCCCACAGGGAAAAGGCAAUGCACGUGAUCGAUCAGAGUUAGAGCUAUAGGCGGUACAUUUCCUUGAAGACGCCUCUGGACGAUGUGUACAAUGCAAUAAAGGAUCAUGGUUUGCUGUAUCCUCCUACCCCAAUAGCAAAACUACCUAGCAGAUGAGAUAAGGGCCGGUUUUGCGAAUUCCAUGGCACCCAUGGUCAUACUACGUCCCAAUGCAGUGAUCUAAAAAAUCAGGUGGAAGAUUUAGUGAGGAAUCGUUACUUGGACGAGUUCAUAGAUAGAGCUAUCUCGAUUGCAGGCUCAUCAUGUGGAGCAGAGCAGGGCACUAGAAAUGCAGGCCACAAGCAGCCCAUCAUCAGAGUUAUCGUUGGGGGCCCAACGUUGGCUGGGGAUUCCAACAGAUCUAGAAAGAACUAUGCUAGGUAUGCCAUGACUAGCAAAAAAGUAUUAUUUAACACUCCGACGGCAAAACGAACAAGGACCAAGCAUGUGCUGAUCAUGUGGAUGGAUGAGGACGAAGAAUGAGUGCUAUACCCACACGAGGAUGCACUUGUCAUUGAAGCCAUCGUCGCCAGCAAGAAGUUUGAUUGAAUCCUAGUAGAUACUGAGAGCUCAGUCGAUGUCCUGUUCAAGUCAACUUAGGAGGAAAUGGGAAUAGCAGAUUUGAGGAUAGAGCACAUCAACACAUCAUUAAAGGGGUUCGGGGGAGGAAGGCUAGCCCCACUUGGAGUGGUCGAGCUACCCAUUACUAUAGGUUCUGCUCCAUUAGAAAAGACAAUGAUCCUAGAUUUUAUUGUGGUCGAUGAAGAGAGCCCCUACUAGAUGAUUUUAGGCCGCCCUUUCUUGAGGAAGAGUAAGGCGGUGCUAUCUAAUCAUUACUUGGCUUUCAAGUACUGAGUAAAUUGGGUGGUUGGCGUGGUACAAGAAAAUUAGAGAAUUUCUCGAAGCUGUUACACUACAGCAACGAAAGAGGCGAUGUAAAUUACCUCGCUUCAUGCCUAAGCAAAAUUUAUGAGGGGCAGACAUGAGACGGUUAAGGAGCUGGAGACUGUUAACUUGAAUCAGGACGGCAUGGGGAAAACACUUAGGAUUGGGUCGAAGAUAGAGGGGGAGUUGAAGCAAGAGUUGAUACACUGCAUGCGAUCUCACGCAUAUAUGUUUGCAUGGACGCAUGAUGACAUGCCGGGGAUCGACCCCGAGGUGGCUUGCCACAGGUUGGCGAUAAAGAAGGGUGUCAGAUCUGUGAGGCAAAAGAGAAGGUAUUUCAACCAGGAGAGAUACGAAACCAUAAAUAGCGAGGUGGAGAAGUUCUUGCAGGCAGGGUUCUUUCAGGAAGUGAACUACCCCGAAUGGAUAUUGAAUGUCGUUCUGGUAAGGAAGGCCAAUGGUAAAUGGAGAAUAUGUGUUGACUUCAUCGACCUCAACAAGGCAUGCCUGAAAAAAAGCUUUCCCCUAUCGAAGAUCGACCAGCUGGUUGACUCAACAGCAGGGCAUAAUCUGCUCAGCUUCAUAGACGCAUUCUCUGGAUACAACCAAAUCCUAAUGUACGAGUAUGAAGAGGAGAGCACGACGUUUAUUACUAACCAGAGUUUGUUUUGUUACAGGGUAAUGUCAUUCGGCCUUAAAAAUACAGGUGCUACAUACCAGAGGUUGGUGAACAAAAUCUUUAAGCCAUUGAUUGGGCGAAUGAUUGAGGUUUAUGUGGACGACAUAAUAACCAAAUCAAAAAGCCCGGAUGAACACGUCAAGCACCUUGAGGAGACAUUUGGGCUUUUGAGAAAAUAUAAUAUGAAGCUCAACCCGAAAAAGUGUGUUUUUGGAGUUGGAUCGGGAAAAUUCCUUGGGUUCAUGGUAAGCCAUCGGGAGAUUGAGGCGAAUCCUAAGAAGAUCCAAGCAAUUGUGGGAAUGAGAUCUUCUUGUAAUUUGAAGGAGAUAUAAAGCUUCACGGGAAAGUUGGCGACGUUGAGUCGAUUUAUAUCCAAGGCCACAGACAAAUGUCAUGCCUUUUUUCAAGUGAUGAGGAUGGGGAGGAAAAUAGAAUGGACCCCCGAAUACAAAGAGGCAUUCUCGAAACUGAAACAAUACCUACAACAAACACUCUUAUUGUCCACACCACGAGAGGGGGACGUCCUGUGUAUCCAAUCACGGUAUAAGCUCAAUUCUGGUGAGAGAAGAAGAAGAGGUCCAGUACCCAAUAUAUUACACCAGCAAAGCUCUGCUCGAUGCCGAGACCAAGUACCCGCCGUUGGAGAAAUGGGCACUCGCCCUUGUAGUGGCUGCUCGAAAGUUGAGACCGUAUUUCCAAGCAUUCUCAGUUGCGGUAGUAGCAGACCAACCAUUGUGGUAGACCAUACACAAACCGAAUGCUUUCGGUCGGCUAGUGAAGUGGGCAAUAGAGCUAAGCGAGUUCGAUAUAAGCUACAAACCCCGAGCAGCAAUUAAAGCCCAAGCGAUGGCAGACUUCGUGGCAGAGUUCAUAGAGCCUGAAGUAGACUUCGACCACACAAGUGCUGCUGCAGGCAACGACGGAGGCAGUUUGUCAAGCGUCAAUGGAUGAAUCCUCAGGUGAGUAGGGUGCCGGAGCAGGGAUUGUUUUGGAAAGCCGAGAAGGGGAAGAGAUCUCUUACGUUGUCAAGUUAGAGUUCACGGCCACAAACAACCAGGCCGAAUACGAAGCUCUAGUUGCAGGGUUAGAGUUAGUUAAGGCAGUGAAAGAAAAUAGGGUGAAAAUCCGGACCUAUUCCCAACUGGUCGCGAGCCACGUCAGUGAAAGAUUUCAACCCAUAAAUGAGAAGAUGGAACAGUAACUAAAAAAGGUCAGACAGUUGAUUGGGAAGUUCGAAUCAGUGGACGUAGUGCAAAUCCCAAGGAGCGAGAACUACCGAGCAGAUAUCCUUGCCAAAAUGGUAGCCAUAAUGGACCUAAUAUCAAGAGGUCGAAAUAUACUACGAGCAAACCAAGAUUAUUAAGUUUCUAGUAUUGAUCCAUUGCAUUACCAAUACCAAAAACUGGGGGACCGGUGUUUGGGGGGAUAUUAUAGCGUGAUCUGCCAUACCCAGGCGAGGAGUUGACCUUCUCGUAAGCGAGGAGCAAUGUGACGUCCGAGAGCAGGAGUCUUCUCCUCGUCUAUGAGAAGACCAUAUACUGGAACCAUAAUACGAGCAGGUUCCUUGCUAGGCGUCGAGAACAUUUCCCGUUAGGGGCUAAAUCAGCAGACCUAGUACACGACAGUUAAACAGGACAUGCACUAUUAUUCUAGAAUCCAGGCACGAAGUCCACUCAACUACGACCACCACGUUCAGCCAUCUACUUCCGAGGAUUCUGGCAAAGUGGCAAACAUGAGUCAAAGAGGGUCGAAUUCUCAGGGAGGCUAUGAAAAGGGCAAUAAAAAAAGGUAAAAGGGUUGGACAAAAAAAACUAAAAAAGAGACAAAAAGAAAUUCCGGGGGGCAUUCUAGUGAGAACCUCAAGAAAAUUCAUAGGGAUUUCAUUGCUUUAGGAAUCAUUACAAAGCCAAGAAAUUAUUGAUGGAGUUUUUUCAAAAGUAAGCCCAAAUUUCUGACUUGAGCGUCGGAGGGUUUACACCGGGAAAACCCUCAACGUGCUCUGAUCAGUUUUUGUGUGCGCAAGAGUCUGUUGGAGAGAAGGAGUAAGCGUCAUAGUUCUACUCGUCUACAAAGGGGCAGCGUGAAGUUACCUAUAGUCAACUGUAAACUUGAGCAUUGAGGAGAGAUCCUGGUCGUGAACGAGCAAACACCGAAUCUCGCACCAACACAAUUAAUUAAAUUAAGCAAAAUUUUUACAUAGAAACUGGGGGAGCAAAUUGAUUAAACCCAUAAACAAGUCUAGAAUUUAAUUAGUUAAUUAAAGUCUCUAGAAUUCUAGAAGGUAGCAUAGAGCAGCUGGUUGGCUGGUGGGGAGUGAUGAUCAGUAGAAAUUCGGAGACACUGGAAGAGGACUGUGUAAAGGUCGAAGACCACGACGGGUGGCCUUGGCUCUGCUUUAACCAGUAGCUGAUGCAGAAUUAUCCUUUGGUUCAACAUAAUGAGCGAUUGUCACCGACACAACAAGAAUCACACCCAAGCAAAAUACAGCAUAGCAUUGCCGCCCCAGCUUCCCCUACAGUCCAUGCACCGUCUCCAUCGUAUACAUGUAUACCACUUUUUUAUCUUUCUAUUGAAAGUAACUCAGUAAUAUACGUAGUGUUGUAAUAUAAAAUGUUCUAUGAAUGUGUGUAUAUAUACGGAAGAAAAUUGGAAAGAUAGCAAAUGGUUUUGGUGGGUAGAGUCUACAGAGAGAGGGGAAACAGGGAGCAGGAAUUAAUUAUUGAUUAAAAAAGGAGGAACAAAACCAGGGGAUGAAUUAAGAUGAGUGAAGGCAGGGAUUGUCGUUUUGUUGCAGAAAAAACCGACGGAGCUAGGGAUAAUUCUUUCAGCUUCAGAUGACAGCAAAGCAGUUUGUAGAGCGCAUGCAAACAACACUUGGCCGAUUCAAUUCAAGAGGCAUUCAGACACCCACUCCCCUUUUUCAUAUAGGGUUCAUUGCAUGUCCUGCUUUCUUUGAUUCGUUUAUUGUAUUUGGUCAAACAACCGAUGAAGAGCGAAGGAGAAGAAGACCCCAUAAUCCUGUGCAUAUCUUGUAUUUUGAGUCCAUGUAAUCGUGAUUGUCAGAUCAGAUUUAUAUGAUCGCAUAGCCGAAACCCUGAUUAAAAUUGGCGCUACGUUGGAGCUGAUCCAACGUAGCCGAACCCCUAAUUAAAAUUAUGUCACAUGACACAUUUUAGUUUUUAUUCUCUCUUUCUAUCAUGUUUGAUCAAUUCAGAUAAAUCUAUUUGUUAAAAUUUUACAAGAGUACGUACGAAAACGAAGUACGUCGAUCCCACCUAAAAUGUUCUCUAUCAAUGAGAUUACAUAUUUAUCACAUUGGGGGGUGAAUUUAGCCUCCUGAUAUUACUCUUGAGCUUGUAAAAGAUGAAAUGCCCUGUCUUUGUAUCUUCUUUGAUCGCGAGAUUAUACUAUAUUCACAAUAGAGCAAUCCGAACCACCAUACCUCUAUACAAAACAGUUGAACUUGAGUUUAAAUAUCUUAUGUUUUAACAAACUGAAUAAUAUUCUGAUAAGUUACAGCAUCUUUUUGUUGUUGUAUUGCCUCAUCAUGAUACAUAAUGAAUAAAUCAAGGGUUUAAAUUUUUCCGAACAAUAUUUGAAUUGUUAUUGCACUGAUGUCAAAUUGCUACCAAAAGGAGGCAAAUAGCUACAAAUCCAUCUAUUGUUGGGUUCCUUUGGGAGAUUACUUGCUGGAAAUAGCCUUGAGUUUGAUACAUAUCAUUCAUUAAUACAUAGUAUUUCUUUAGCAGCAAAGCAAGCUGAAAUCAAAUACAUAAAAGCUACCAUGCAUACCCCCAUCAUUUAUUGAAACAAACUAUAGUAGUUUUUCCCAUAGUGACACAAUCUCUCAUUAUAAAUUGAACAAAAAAAAAAAAAAUUCUCUUCAAUGGAAAAUCUUCAAGUUUCAGAUGCUUUUAGUAGCUGGAGGGACUAUCUUGCAAUGGUAUGUUCACGAACUUCCAAGAGCAGCGAAGGAAACUUAUCCGUUAUUCUGUCCCCUGCUACCUCAUUGCCGGAAGUGGAGGACUGUCUUUUGCUGGUGUGUUCGCGAACUUCCAGGAGCAACGGAGGAGACCGCCAAUUACCCCAUCCCCUGCUACAUCAUUGAUGGGAAUCACAGAAGAAAUCUCAUCUAAAUCUUCAUUUGUAAGUUUCACUCUCAAAGAACCAAUAUUGUCGUCUAGAUUUUUAAUCUUUGUUGUACCUGUAACUGCUGUACGGCCAAGGCGGAUGUACGGUACAGCAGAAAAACAGUUUGGGUUUUGCUUAUCUUGUUGAUCCACUUCAAUGCUGGUUUGCUAGAUUCUGCAAUUAUUCAAGACAUCAUUUCUUAUAACUUAAGCUAAUUAAGUUGCUUAUCGGUACAAUUUUUACAAAUUUCAAAUGCUUUUAGUAGCUGGAGGAGGUGGACCAUCUUUUGCUGGUGUGUUCGCGAACUUCCAGGAGUAGCGAAGGAGACCGCCAAUUACCCCAUCCCCUGCUACCUCAUUGAUGGGAAUCACAGAAGAAAUCUCAUCUAAAUCUUCAUUUGUAAGUUUCACUCUCAAAGAACCUAUAUUGUCGUCGAGAUUUUUAAUCUUUGUUGUACCUGCCAAAAAAAUAAAGCACAUACAAGGCUUAUCAACUCAUAUAGGAGAGAUGUCUAUCAUGAUUGCACCGGCUGAUAAGAAAAUAAGGAGAUUAACUCACCAGGAAUUGGUGCUACAUCAUUUCCUUGAUGAAGAAUCCAAGCAAGUGCAAGUUGUGCAGGGUUGCAUUCAUGCUUUUCGGCUAACUUUUGCAGACGCAAAUAUAAGAUCUUGUUUUUGUCAAUGUUCUCUCCUGAGAACCUAGGAUGCCAUGUCUUAAGGAAAAAUUGACCAUCAGUUAAUCAAUUCAAAAUUACUCUCAAAAGUAACAACAUCAGAAUAACAAAUGAAACAUUGUAGACUAAAACAUACCAGAAGACUGUUCGCAGGCAAACUUUCAACACUAGCCUUGCCACCAAAAAAUCCACUGCCAAGUGGACUAUAUGGAACUAUCCCAAUUCCAAGUUCCCUGUAACAUAAUAUUCAAAAUUGACAAUUGCCUCUCAUUUACAGAAAUCAAACUUGCAGGAAUAUGUUAGCUGAAGAGGUGGCAUGAGAGUCAUUUACCAAAGAAAAUCUACUGUAGUUGAAUAGAUAAAAAUGAGAAUGACAACAUAUCAAUUUCAGUUUCAUUGUAAAGAACCUGCAAAGUGGGACUAUUUCAUCCUCAAUUUCGCGAGUCCAGAGAGACCAUUCCAUUUGUAAGGCAGUAACAGGAUGAACGGCAUGUGCCCUUCUUAUAGUAUCAGGGCUUGCUUCAGAUAACCCGAUAUACUUUAUUUUCCCUUCUUCCACCAACUUCUUAAGUUCUCCCAUCUGAUAAGAAGCAAAAUGUACCACUAUAACUAUUGAUGCGGCAACUGGUGACUACUGACAAGGAAAUCAGAAAUGAAGGCAGCAGAUUACUUACAGUAUCCUCUAUAGGUAUCGUUGUGUCAACGCGAUGCUGAUAAUAGAGAUCAAUGUAUUCAACAUCAAGACGCUUCAGGCUAGCCUCACAGCAGGCGCGGACAUACUCAGGGGUACCCUUUACCACAACAUCACUCAUGUCAAAUUUGACAAUACCAAAUUUUGUGGCUAGCUGCACUUUUUCUCUUGGAAGCUGCUUGAGAGCCUGAAAAGAUUCAUCAAUUAAUUACUCAAACAAAGUAAUCUUGCAUGCCAAGAGUUUUCACCCAUCAGUUUUAUCAAUUAAUCAUUUACCUUUCCAACAAGAAGUUCAUUAGCAUUAUUGGGUCCAUAGACGUCUGCUGUGUCAAAGAAUGUGAUUCCUUGAUCAAAUGCGUGCUUGAUUAUUGAUAUGCCAACUUCAACAGGGACAGGAUCAUUGUAAAUUCCAGUGAGGCCCAUGCAACCAAAUCCCAACUUUGACACCUUUAAGACACAUAUAAGCCAUCAAAAAAUAUUAUAUGAGAAACAGUAAUGUCUCUCUGUGAUUGUUUAUAUUUUUCCUAAUGCUGUAAAAGAAAAGAGUUACCAAAUGAACUUUACCUCAAAUCCUUGCCCACCAAGUUUCACCCUUGGAAUCUCGAUUCUUUGUUCUUCAGCCAUUUUCUUCAAACUUCUUCUUCUCCUUCUUCUUCUUGGUACUGGCUUAAGACUUGUCUCGGCCUCUUAAGAUGCAGAGAUAUGGAGGCAUGGGAGUGGGACUCAUGACAUUUAUAAGGAACCAAAAUGAAGGUGGCCUUAGCCCUCGCGUCUUGUAAUUAUUUAUUUUUAGAAUAAAAAAAAUGUUGAAAAGAACUAAAGGAAAAACAAACAUAACGGUCAAUCGAGUCCGUUUAUUAAAUAAUGCUGCAUUGACAAAAAAAUUGAGUUAUAAAUUUUGAUUAAAAUAUCAGGGUAGUUAUCAAUCAGUUUUUUUUUUUUUUUUUUUUGUCAAGAUAUUAUGAUGUUUUUAUACUUUUUAUCAAAAUUUUAUAACCUAAUUUUUUUUUUUAUCAAAAUAAAAUUUUCGCUAUUGUUGUUUUUUGAUUUACACAAUAAAACGGGCAUGUGUGAUCUGUAGUGAUGUAUGAUAUCAAAUUGAAGUUUUAAUACCAAUACGAUUGAAAUGAUUUGUUCUUGUAAUUAUGAAAAUUCAAAUCAUUAGGAAAUUGAUAAAGCUUUUAAUUUGUUGCCGUGGAGUAUUGGACAAAAUAACUUAGCCUAUAAUAAAAAUAUAUAAUUAAAAAUCUAAAGCGUGAUCUGUGCGGGGAGCAAGUCGUGAUGUAUUUGUAUACAUACACACACAUACACAGCAACCAUGGCCAAAAUAAAAAAAAUUAAAUUCAAACAUAAUCACCAAUUUUUAAGUGUUAAGUUGAAAAAUAAACGUCUUUAAAAUGUCUAAAACUCUAAAGCUGAACCAUAUACAUUAUUCAAUUAAAAAAAAAAAAACGAGAGCUGGAAGUUUAGGUCUUGUUUGGUGUUAAUAUAUUGUAUUAUAGAUUUUUUUUAUUAUACAAAUAUAAAAAUAAAAUUAAUUUAACUUCUAAAUCACAAAUUUUGUCACUUUCAAGUUCUAACAUCAAAUCAAACAUAUAAAUAAGUGACAAAAAUUGUAAGUCGAAUCCAUAAAGAAUCAUAUACUACAUUAAUCAGGUAAGCAAAUAUGUAAGCACCCUUCCGGUAAACUACAUUCAUCAUGUAAGCAGGUACGUGAACAUCCUUUUGCUUUUAAUUCUUCUUAAAAAUUGAUAAUUAUUUUAGGACCAAAAAUGUUAAAGACAAGUAGACCAAUAAAAAUAGACAUAAUGCCUCUAAAGUAUUUGUAGAACAAAAUUACUUAUUAUUAAAUAUAAAUGAGUAAGUGUUCGGUGAAUAUUAUUUAUUUAAAUAGUAAAUAUUUACUAAAACCUUUAAAAACUAUACAUUUAAAAUUAUGUGGAAACUCAACGAUUAUAAACCUACCAUAUGUCAUCUUUCUACCUAGCUAGCCCAUUGAAUUUCAUAAUGUCAAUGCUAACAAACAAUGUCAUCUAAUUGUACUAAAGCUCAACUGCCAGUAAGAUUAACAAGCAACUUACCAGCAUACAUUUCUAUUGGCUAAUUUUCACUUGUACAGAAUUAAAAAAUUUAACGAGUUCUAAAUCACUAAAAAAGUAAAAGGUAAUUAAAAUUUUAAAAGUGAACAUUGAUAGUUGAUUAUUUCACUUUAUCUCACCAAUUUGUAUUUCUUGAUCAACUCUAGUUAUUUAUUAUUUUUUUUUUUCUUAAGCUCGCGACUUUUCCUCUUUCAUAUCUCUCUCACUUUCUUGAAUUGAUUUACAAUUUCCAUCAAAUGUUAGUCCCCAAACAAAUUCCACAUUGCAAUUGUCAAAAUGUUGGAUUAUCACCACAAAAAAAAAGUAAUAAAUAAAUACAUAUGAUCGACAUCAUUAGAAACCACCAAUUAUCUACAAAAUUUAAUAAGAUUCAAUAACAAAUUAUAAUGUGUUGUAGGUGGUUGUAGAUUGAUGGUGAUGAAGAUGUGCGGUGGUAAUGAUGGACAUGGUAGUGAUGAAGUUAGGUACUGGGUGAAGAUGAUGCUUGGCAGAAAAAGUAUAUGAAAGAGAAAAUAAAAAAUAAAAUUAUUUAAUUUAACUAUUUUUAAUUUUUUAAUAAAGAUAAUUUUAAAAAUAAAUGGGUUUAAUUAAAAAGUGAGGUUAAUAAGAGAAUGUAAGGUGGUAAAUGUAUAAGGGUAAAAAGUCAAAAAAACAAAAGGUGGGUUUUGGGAUUCUACAUUUUCUAAAAUCCGAUGAACUCGGCCUUGUUUAAGAAUGCAAGCCCAGCUCAAGUCUUGUAGGUAAUUUUGAGGCCCUUACUGAAAAAGGCUUGAAGUUAUUAUACAGUGGGAGCUCAAAUCUUACGAAACCCUUGAAUUUUUUUAAAUACAUCCCCCGGGCGCCGCGCGGGGAUCUGCAUAGAGUUAAUUCAUUUUUGUCUUAUGAAAAAAAACUCCAAUCCAUUUUCUUUCCUUUUGAAUAAAAUUUUUAAUUAUAGAAACUCCACUAACCAUAUACAUAGUAAUAAAAAAAUUAUUAAAUUAAAAUACAGAAAACGAAAUGAUAUAUCUUAAACUAAUUUUCGGUAAGAAAAGAAAAUCUUAAGCGACUUUAUAGUUUUAAUAUAAAAAAUUAUAUUUUCAAAUAAAAAAUAAAAGAUAAGUAUAGAAUAUGAGAUUGUGUGAGCUUAAAAGUUUGUUAAAAGAAUAAAUAAGUUUCAAAUUGAAUUUUCAUUUAAAAUAUAAUCAAUUAAAUUUUGUCUUUAACUAGUUAUGUAGUUUCAAUUGAAAAUGGGUUUCAUGAAGACUUUCAAGGGGUGUAUGUCAAGGGACGUAAUAAUUGAGAAAUUAUAGAAUACAUCUGAGACAAUACAACCAAUUAAUAUAUGCAUAACAUAGGUAAUUAGAUUUAAUAUAACUAUAAAUCCCUUCAAAAUGAAUGCACAUAAAUUAUAACAUCAUUUCCUUAUUGUAUAGUUGAUGUAGUAUAUGUGAUAUAUUCUAUAAUUUCUAAUAAUAGUAUCAGUCAAACUUAAAUGGUAGUUUUUUUUUUUAUCCUCUUGAAUGAUAAAAGUAUUAUUAAACUCUUAUUUGGAGAAUCCCCCUUUUAUCAUUUAACCACCACGUUUCCAAUAAAAUGAUGUUAAUUUGGUGAUUCUUUCAAAUUCCAAUGAAUUUUACAAUUUCUAGGAGAGAAACUACUGGAGAUAAAACGAGUUUCAAAUAUUGCAUUUUUUUAUAUCACAUUCAUGGGACUCAAAAGUCUGAAAACAUUCAAAAAUGGAUUCAAACUCUUUACUGGAAAAAAAAAAACGGCAGUUAUUUUCCCAUUUCCUUUCGCAUUGUAACUUGAAUAUAAUUUUGCUUCAGUACUAAUCAAGUGUUUCAUCUACAAACACCAUAAUUUGCCUGCGAAUCAACAUGUAUCUGUGCUAGGAUGAAGCAAAUGCAGGCAAAUUGUUUCCAUAAAAAAUUUGGAUAUUUGCAAUCUUCAAUUUCAAAGAAAGAGUGUCGGCAAAAAUUUAUCAAGUUGCACCUUAACAAAGCUCACACAUAUUCUCAUUUCACAAAUCGGGCACACUACAUUUACAUAUAUAUAGUACAUCAUAAUGAUCAAAAUUUUACUCAUGAAAUUGUUCAGCAUGAAAUCAUGUAGCAAUAGCUUGUAAACAUAUUUUGACAUUUAUCUGCCUUUAUUUGUGUAAAAUAUGACAUCCCCAGUUCCCAACCCCGAGUGAUGAUAUGGGCAGCAUCCAGCAAAUAUUUUAAGUUCAAACCUCAACAGUCUCUUGGAGGUGUGGUUGCAAAAUUCCACGAUGUUUUGUCAAGAGCAUCUGGGUAUCUGUCUCCUGCAACCUCUUCUGUGGGUACGGCAUCAGAAAUUUCUUUCAGAUCCUCUUUUGUAAGUUUUAUUGUCAAGGAGCCAAUAUUGUCGUCCAGGUUCUUAAUCUUAGUUGUCCCUGAUGCUCGAAACAAAUUAGCAGUAAACAUCAAUACAGGUAAUAUUAUCUUGAUCAGCUCAGUUUUAACUCUAUAUAUUUCUUCAAGUCAACACAUGAAUCAUGAACUCAAAGGAUAGAAUCUUACCGGGAAUAGGUACGACAUCCUCCCCCUGCGCGAGAACCCAUGCCAGUGCUAAUUGAGCAGAAGUGCAUUUGUACUUUUUGGCAAGGUUCUCUAUGCGAAAAUAAAUACUCUUGUUUCUGUCCAGGUUCUCUCCGUUGAACCGAGGAAAAAAUU